UCAGGACGAACGCUGGCGGCGUGCCUAACACAUGCAAGUCGAGCGAGGAGAUCCUCGGGAUGAUCCUAGCGGCGGACGGGUGAGUAACACGUGGGCAACCUGCCUCAUAGAGAGGAAUAGCCUUCCGAAAGGAGAUUAAUACCUCAUAACAUUGCAGUUUCGCAUGGAACAGCAAUUAAAGGAGCAAUCCGCUAUGAGAUGGGCCCCGCGGCGCAUUAGCUAGUUGGUGAGGUAACGGCUCACCAAGGCGACGAUGCGUAGCCGACCUGAGAGGGUGAUCGGCCACAUUGGGACUGAGACACGGCCCAGACUCCUACGGGAGGCAGCAGUGGGGAAUAUUGCACAAUGGGGGAAACCCUGAUGCAGCCAACGCCGCGUGAGUGAUGACGGCCUUCGGGUUGUAAAGCUCUGUCUUCAGGGACGAUAAUGACGGUACCUGAGGAGGAAGCCACGGCUAACUACGUGCCAGCAGCUGC
Molecule: ribosomal RNA, 476 nt
Filed under: uncultured bacterium
Lineage: Bacteria
Description: bacterial SSU rRNA
Rfam family: Bacterial small subunit ribosomal RNA
Source: RNAcentral